RNAcentral lists this ribosomal RNA (403 nucleotides) under uncultured bacterium. RNAcentral describes it as "partial 16S ribosomal RNA". It matches the Rfam family "Bacterial small subunit ribosomal RNA", at positions 28 to 526 of the family's 1533-position model. The record is from RNAcentral.
GACGAACGCUGGCGGCGUGCCUAAUACAUGCAAGUCGAACGCAGUGGGGACGGUUGAGGAACACGUGGGUAACCUCCCAUCAGAGGGGAUAACACUUGGAAACAGGUGCUAAACCGAUACUGAUGGCUGAUCCCGCGGUGCAUUGGAUAGUUGGGGGGGUAACGGCUCACCAAGGCAACGAUGCAUAGCCGAGCUGAGAGGAGGAUCGGCAACACUGGAACUGGGCAACGGCCCAGACUCCUACGGGAGGCAGCAGUGGGGAAUCUUCGGCAAUGGACGAAAGUCUGACCGAGCAAUGCCGCGUGAGUGAAGAAGGUUUUCGGAUCGUAAAACUCUGUUGUUGGAGAAGCGGUAUCUAACGAGAAAGCCACGGCUAACUACGUGCCAGCAGCCGCGGUAAUAC